This 864-nucleotide long non-coding RNA is filed under the name Linum usitatissimum (flax). Its description in RNAcentral is "long non-coding RNA (LUSI_LNC006196)". The record is from RNAcentral. Lineage: Eukaryota; Viridiplantae; Streptophyta; Magnoliopsida; Malpighiales; Linaceae.
AAUUUUUUUGCAAUGGGUGGUAGAUCUAGGUUCGAUUUUUGCUCUUCAAGAUGGAUUUUCACACUAUCAAGAUGGAUCUUUGCACAAAAUAACUAGGAGAGUAUAAACAAACCUCGAAAAGGUAGGUUAUCUCCAUAUUUGCUCUUGUUCUUCAUGAUCUUUGAGCUCUUAUGAUUUUUGUUGUACUCACUUUUCUCUCUUGAUUUCUUUGAUGGAUGAUCGAUUUGGGUUCAUUUUGAUGGAUCUCUAUAAGAAGAAACAAUAGAAGAGUGCAAACUUUGAAAACGUAGGUUAACUCUCUUUUUAGCUUUUGUUCUUCGUGUUUUUCGGGUUCUUCGAGAUUUUUGGGUUCACAUCCCACAUGGACUUUUUCAUGUUCUUCGGGUGUUUUGUGUUCACAUCCCACAGGGUUUUUUUUUGUGUUCUUCAUGUUUUUUGGGUUUUUUAUGUUCACAUCCCACGGGGACGAACGCAAGCUGUGUCAGGUAAGUUUGUAUCAUUGUUCAACACGAACGUUUGUAUCACUUACUGGUACAAAUGUUUUGUUCAAGUCCAAACAGAACGAACGUAGGUCGUUGUAAUACUUUUGUUUCAUAGGCCAAUUUACGACCCGAAAGAACGAACGUAUAGCAUGGAAAAUACGUUUGUAUUGAUAAGACGUACAUACGUAAAUAUUAUUCAUUUGAACUUAUGCCUUUAUAUCUAAUAAGUUUUAAUACUUUUUUCUUAUUGCAGGAGCACAUUAUAAAGAUGAUGUGUUGUGUUCAAAAAAUUGUAGAUGGUUUUUUGACGAAUGUACAUAUUGUAAUAUUUUAUUUAUGAAUUUAUGAUUUUAUUAAUCAAUUUUGAUGAUUUUCAUUGUUU